GACGAACGCUGGCGGCGUGCUUAACACAUGCAAGUCGAACGGAAAGGCCCUGCUUUUGUGGGGUGCUCGAGUGGCGAACGGGUGAGUAACACGUGAGUAACCUGCCCUUGACUUUGGGAUAACUUCAGGAAACUGGGGCUAAUACCGGAUAGGAGCUCCUGCUGCAUGGUGGGGGUUGGAAAGUUUCGGCGGUUGAGGAUGGACUCGCGGCUUAUCAGCUUGUUGGUGGGGUAGUGGCUUACCAAGGCUUUGACGGGUAGCCGGCCUGAGAGGGUGACCGGCCACAGUGGGACUGAGAUACGGCCCAGACUCCUACGGGAGGCAGCAGUGGGGAAUAUUGCACAAUGGGCGGAAGCCUGAUGCAGCAACGCCGCGUGCGGGAUGACGGCCUUCGGGUUGUAAACCGCUUUCGCCUGUGACGAAGCGUGAGUGACGGUAAUGGGUAAAGAAGCACCGGCUAACUACGU
Molecule: ribosomal RNA, 467 nt
Filed under: uncultured bacterium
Lineage: Bacteria
Description: partial 16S ribosomal RNA
Rfam family: Bacterial small subunit ribosomal RNA
Source: RNAcentral